Erpetoichthys calabaricus (reedfish) is the source of this 319-nucleotide long non-coding RNA. RefSeq lists it as uncharacterized. The record is from RefSeq and is a predicted model, not a curated record. NCBI's taxonomy places the organism in Eukaryota, Metazoa, Chordata, Cladistia, Polypteriformes, Polypteridae. The transcript is spliced from 2 exons.
AAAUCAUCGAUCAUGUUUUGUAGCUUCCUAGCACUUGAUGCUUCUUGGGAGAUAAAUCAACUCAUCACUAACUCAUCACAAACCUUCUAGGAGUGUACAUAUUAUAAUUAAUCCAUGUUACUGCAGUAAACACUUUUUAAGUGAUUUGUUCAGAAAUUAACAUUAAGUAUUAUACAGUUUUUUGUGUUGUUUAGUUCACUUUCAAUUUUUAUCUGAUAUACUAAAUAUAAUAUGAUUUAUCAAGGGGUGGGUGGCUUAAACCUUUGGGCUUAGUGUUUGUCUUCUUAGUUGAAAACUAACCACAAUGAAGUCAUCUGGA